CACGCAGGCGGUCGGAUAAGUCAGAUGUGAAAGCCCCGGGCUCAACCUGGGAACUGCAUUUGAAACUGUCGGACUAGAGUCUUGUAGAGGGGGGUAGAAUUCCAGGUGUAGCGGUGAAAUGCGUAGAGAUCUGGAGGAAUACCGGUGGCGAAGGCGGCCCCCUGGACAAAGACUGACGCUCAGGUGCGAAAGCGUGGGGAGCAAACAG
Molecule: ribosomal RNA, 208 nt
Filed under: uncultured Gammaproteobacteria bacterium
Lineage: Bacteria; Pseudomonadati; Pseudomonadota; Gammaproteobacteria
Description: uncultured gamma proteobacterium partial 16S ribosomal RNA
Rfam family: Bacterial small subunit ribosomal RNA
Source: RNAcentral